Pangasianodon hypophthalmus (striped catfish) is the source of this 2943-nucleotide long non-coding RNA. RefSeq lists it as uncharacterized. The record is from RefSeq and is a predicted model, not a curated record. The transcript is spliced from 6 exons. Lineage: Eukaryota; Metazoa; Chordata; Actinopteri; Siluriformes; Pangasiidae.
GUGUGGAAUGUUUUCUUGCCACACUUUGAGCCCGUUAAUACCAAUCCAUCAUCGCUUGAAUGCCACAGUCUAUUUGAGUAUUGUUGCUGACCAUGUGCAUCCCUUCAUGGCCACAAUUUACCAUUUUCUAAUGGCUUAUUAUUCCAGUAUGAUAAUGCACCAUGUCACAAAGCAAAAGUCGUCUCAAACUGGUUUCAUGAACAUGACAGCGACUUGAGUGUUCUUCUCCAGUGGCCUUCCUAGCCACCGGGUCUGAAUCCAAUAGACUUACUGGAUUGAAAGUGCACCAGAAAAAUCUGUGCGAUCAUCUCAACAUGGACCAGAAUCUCAAAGGAACAUCUCCAAAAUCUUGUGGAAUCCAUGCUAUGAAGAAUUGAGGCUGUUUGGAGAGCAAAGGGACUGAGAGCCCUACCCAGUGUUAGUGUAGUGUUCCUAAUAAAGUUCUCACUGAGUGUACACCAUAAGGGAACAGCUGUUGUGGCUCAUGAUGUCAUCUGUAUACUUUUGCAUAUGUAAAUUUAUAAAUGAUAAAACCGCAGUGCUGACAGGAGUGCUGUAAGAUCUGUCGGUCUGGAGAUCAGCUAAUUAACGUCUUCAGCUCCUCUUUUAUUGGCAAAUGUAAGCAAAUCAGUGAGGCUGCGUAACCUCCCCUGAUUUGCGAUUGUGUUUAGGAAAGAGAGGAGAAGAGAAGUGUGUGGAAAGUUAUUGUCAGGAUUGUGAGUUCUGUGUGCAGGUAUGCUGGAUAUGAGGGUCAGUCCAGUCAGAGCUACAGCCAGCCGGGUUACGGAGGAUACGGCCCGGGUUCGGAGUCGGACAGCAGCCCGGACCUUACGGUCAGGGAUACGGCUCCAGCUACAGCUCGGUUUUCGAACGUAGUUGUCGAUGAGGUGACAGUGAGAGGGCGAUGUCACAGGAAAAUGUCCCUGAGGAAAAAUGAGGAGGCUCAUCACCUUCAGUGAUCAGGUUACACUCGAUUCUCAAGAGUUUCCCGUGGUACUGAAGUGCAUGUCAUGUUCCUUCUCGGCUGGGAAAGCACUACACAAUCAGAUAGUGGCAUUUCUGUUUCAAACUUCUCACUACAGUACCGUGGGCUUCAGGACGGUGCCAUUGCCUCUGUCAUGCACCAGCUCACUGCAGACCUGGGACACAGGGAAUUGCACCAGAGGCUAUAAAGGACAUGGCGGUGUGUAACCCAGUGGCAAAGACAAGGAAUAGUGUCAGGACUGGUGUGAAGAGCACACUGUACAGAGCAUGUGGUGGGCCUCUUCCAGUUCCUCACGUCAUGGCCAGCGGGGAGAAACUGAAAGACGAACUUCCACAACUGGGGAUAUGCAAAUUGCUGCACGGACAUGAGUGCCUUGAUUUGGUGGACUCUACAUUUGGCCCUGUGCCUUUUGGGUCUGUGCUCGCUUACCAGUGCCUUCCUGAAAUACGUAGAGACAUAUGUAGAGACAUUAUUGAACACCCUGGUGACAUUAUUGAACACCCUGAGUUUCCUCAGUUGCCUGUUGACAGAUACAGAUUUAAAUUUCCUAUAGAUUUUGAGGCCAGCUAUAAGCAACAGUGCCACUUGGAGAGCCUAAAGGUGUCAUGAAAGAUCUCCGCUGCUAUUGAGGCAGAAACCCGACUGCAGUCAAAAUGCCAGCUGUGGACCCAGCUGUUCAAUCUGAAACAGUCAAUAUAUUCUACAUAGAAACAAGUCCAUAUUUAAGAAAAGGCGGCUGGAUAAAGGUAUUAUAUUUAUGAAGGAUGUGUUGAAGGGUGACUUGUCUCGGCAUAAGUACCAAGCGCAUGAAGAUCGGCCGCACCACACGCACCGAGGACAAGAUCCUGUCCGUCGAGAUCAAGCGCGGCUGGAAGGAGGGCACCAAGAUCACGUUCCCACGGGAGGGCAACGAGGGGGGGGGGGGGUUAAUAAAGGUUUACAGAUGUUGAGCGUCAAGUUAAUAGAUGUUUGUUAUGUCCAGAUGUUGAGUGUAAUGUUAAAUGUUUACAGAUGUUCAGGGUCAUUGAUAAUAGAUGAUUACAGAUGUUGAAAAUCAUGUUAAGAGAUGUUCAGUGUUAUGUUAAUAGAUGUUUACAGAUGUUGAGGAUCAGGUUAGUGGAUGUUUACAGAUGUUGAGGGCGGAUGAUGUUAAAAGAUGUUUAUAGAUGGCGUUUAUAAAUUUCAGGGUCUAAUAGCAGAUGUGUACAGAUGUUCAGGGUCCUGUUAAUGCGUGUUUAUCUGUUUAUGGAUGUUGAGGGUUAUAUUAACAGAUGUUUUCAGAUGUGGAGGAUUGUAUUAACACAUAUUUACAUAUCUGAUUACAGAUGUUGAGAGUUUAGGAAUGUUUACAGAUGACUUUUUUUUUUUAACAUGACGUUGAGGGUCACGGUGUUAAAUUUUUACAGAUGUCCAGUGUCAUGUUAACAGCUGUUGAGAGUCAUAUUUCUGCUUUCAGAUGUUGAGGGUUGUAUUAACAGAUGUUUACCCAUGUUGAAGUUUAUGAUUGCGUUUUUCAGCUGUUUACUGAUCGGUUCAGAUAUUGAGGAUUAUGUUAGCAGAUGUUUAUGUAUGUGUGCAGAUGUAAAUUGAUGUUUUGAGGUACAGUUAAAGUUGUUGAGUUGUUGAUUAUGUGCAUUUAGAAAUGUUAACAGAUGUUUACAGAAGCUGAGGAUAGUGACAGAUCAUCCUAUUAUGUUGAGAGUCGUUUAAACAGAUAUUUACAGAUGUUGACAGUUUUGGUGAAAAGGCCAAUUCUACACAGUAGGAGUCACCUCAUUAUCCUGCACCUCAGCACACAAUAAAUAUCAUCCUUCAUCGAUCUACAGUAUUAAAUAUAAUCACCGAUAUAUAGUAAGUAAGGAAUAAAACACUUGGGGAUGUGUUCUGACAGGAAAAUAAUCAACAACGGGGUGGUGUGAUGCGGCCUGACACAAAGCAGAGUUACUGUUACGACUCUG